Molecule: ribosomal RNA, 490 nt
Filed under: uncultured bacterium
Lineage: Bacteria
Description: partial 16S ribosomal RNA
Rfam family: Bacterial small subunit ribosomal RNA
Source: RNAcentral
AUUGAACGCUGGCGGCAGGCCUAACACAUGCAAGUCGAACGGUAACAGAAAGCAGCUUGCUGCUUUGCUGACGAGUGGCGGACGGGUGAGUAAUGUCUGGGAAACUGCCUGAUGGAGGGGGAUAACUACUGGAAACGGUAGCUAAUACCGCAUAACGUCGCAAGACCAAAGAGGGGGACCUUCGGGCCGCUUGCCAUCGGAUGUGCCCAGAUGGGAUUAGCUAGUAGGUGGGGUAACGGCUCACCUAGGCGACGAUCCCUAGCUGGUCUGAGAGGAUGACCAGCCACACUGGAACUGAGACACGGUCCAGACUCCUACGGGAGGCAGCAGUGGGGAAUAUUGCACAAUGGGCGCAAGCCUGAUGCAGCCAUGCCGCGUGUAUGAAGAAGGCCUUCGGGUUGUAAAGUACUUUCAGCGGGGAGGAAGGGAGUAAAGUUAAUACCUUUGCUCAUUGACGUUACCCGCAGAAGAAGCACCGGCUAACUCCGUG